AGGACGAACGCUGGCGGCGUGCUUAACACAUGCAAGUGGAGCGACGAACCAGGGCUUGCCCUGGGGCAGAGCCGCGAACGGGUGAGUAACACGUGGGUAACCCACCCGAUGACCGGGACAACCCGAGGAAACUCGGGCUAAUACCGGAUGUGCUCUUUGUCCGUGAGGACAACGAGCAAAGGUAGCUUCGGCCUCCGCAUCGGGACGGGCCCGCGGCCCAUUAGCUUGUUGGUGGGGUAAAGCCUACCAAGGCGACGAUGGGUAGCUGGUCUGAGAGGACGAUCAGCCACACUGGGACUGAGACACGGCCCAGACUCCUACGGGAGGCAGCAGUGGGGAAUCUUGCGCAA
RNAcentral lists this ribosomal RNA (350 nucleotides) under uncultured soil bacterium. Its description in RNAcentral is "bacterial SSU rRNA". It matches the Rfam family "Bacterial small subunit ribosomal RNA", at positions 26 to 371 of the family's 1533-position model. The record is from RNAcentral.